CAGCAGCCGCGGGAAUACAGAGGGUGCAAGCGUUAAUCGGAAUUACUGGGCGUAAAGCGCGCGUAGGUGGUUCGCCAAGUUGGAUGUGAAAUCCCCGGGCUCAACCUGGGAACUGCAUCCAAAACUGGCGAGCUAGAGUAUGGUAGAGGGUGGUGGAAUUUCCUGUGUAGCGGUGAAAUGCGUAGAUAUAGGAAGGAACACCAGUGGCGAAGGCGGCUUACUGGCUCAUACUGGACGCUGAGGUGCGAAAGCGUGGGGAGCAAACAGGAUUAGAUACCCCUGUAGUCCCUGUCUCUUAUAA
Molecule: ribosomal RNA, 301 nt
Filed under: uncultured bacterium
Lineage: Bacteria
Description: partial 16S ribosomal RNA
Rfam family: Bacterial small subunit ribosomal RNA
Source: RNAcentral